RNAcentral lists this ribosomal RNA (919 nucleotides) under uncultured archaeon. RNAcentral's name for it is "bacterial SSU rRNA". It matches the Rfam family "Archaeal small subunit ribosomal RNA", at positions 1 to 922 of the family's 1478-position model. The record is from RNAcentral.
UUCCGGUUGAUCCUGCCGGCGGUCACUGCUAUCGAGUUCCGACUAAGCCAUGCGAGUCACAGGCCGCAAGGUUCUGGCGGACGGCUCAGUAACACGCGGAUAACCUGCCCUUAGGUGGGGUAUAACCUCGGGAAACUGAGGCUAAUUCCCCAUAGAUCCCAAAAGCUGGAAUGCUUUGGGAUUGAAAGCUACGGCGCCUAAGGAUGGGUCUGCGGCCUAUCAGGUAGUAGGUGGGGUAAAGGCCCACCUAGCCUAUGACGGGUACGGGCCCUGAGAGGGGGAGCCCGGAGAUGGGUUCUGAGACACGAACCCAGGUCCUACGGGGCGCAGCAGGCGCGAAACCUUCGCAAUGCGCAAAUGCGUGACGAGGGGAACUCGAGUGCUAUCAUCCUUUCGGGUGAUAGCUUUUCUCGAUCCUAAAAAGAUCGGGGAAUAAGGGCUGGGUAAGACGGGUGCCAGCCGCCGCGGUAAUACCCGCAGCUCGAGUGGUGACCACUAUUAUUGAGCCUAAAACGUCCGUAGCCGGUUUUGUAAAUCUCUGGGUAAAUCCUGCCGCUUAACGGUAGGAAUUCUGGAGAGACUGCAAAACUAGGGAUCGGGUGAGGCGAGAGGUACUCCUGGGGUAGGGGUAAAAUCCUGUAAUCCUGGGGGGACGACCGGUGGCGAAAGCGUCUCGCUAGAACGACUCCGACGGUGAGGGACGAAGGCUAGGGGAGCAAACCGGAUUAGAUACCCGGGUAGUCCUAGCUGUAAACGCUGCCCACUUGGUGUUGCCCUUUCUUCGGGAAGGGGCAGUGCCGGAGCGAAGGUGUUAAGUGGGCUGCUUGGGGAGUAUGGUCGCAAGGCUGAAACUUAAAGGAAUUGGCGGGAGAGCACCGCAACGGGAGGAGCGUGCGGUUUAAUUGGAUUCAACGCCGGG